ACCAGAUAUAUAACUUUUGGUAUAAUAGUUCUCUAAGAAGAUAGCUAUCUCCUUUUGGUGUAAUGCCAUUGUGGUUGAAUUAGCUUGUCACUUUUUCUACUGGAGUCAGCCUCUUUUAACAAAUAUCAACACUGACAAACUUGUGAUGCAUUUCAGUGAAGUAAAUUUGUAUCAUAUGUUUAAAUUUGUGGUCCUUUGUUUUAGAAAGAAUCAGUACCAUAUAUUAAUUACUUACUCUUUGAUGAUGUUGCACUAUUGCAUCCAAAAGAUGGAUAUUCCCAGCAUGUUUAUUGCUGAAACAUAGUACUUUUCUACUAAGUAGUCAUAUUUUUGUUUGUUUCUCUUGUUUUCUCUUCUCUUCUACUAUUCUAUCUUAUGCAUUCAAAGUAAAAUCCUAUGAUUUCGUUAGUUAUUAUCGAAUUGCAUCGCAUGAUUUUGUCAUAGGAAGUUUUCUUGGACUUCUUAUCUAUUGUUUCUGGUACUUUUGUUAGUUAAAAUUUCUGCAAUGGCUUUUAAAUCCCCUGUUACAUGAGUUUCAAGUACAGAGUCUAAUGAUCUUUUCAGUGUUUUGGAUUAAAGUAGAUUUAGAUGAUUCUUUUCUGUUAGUUUGUUCAUUCAUUGGUAAUUUAUACACACUCAUUCCCUUCUUUACCAGAUUUUUCUUUCUUCACACUUGCAGUUCAUGAGUAUUAUUGCUUUUUUCCACUUUUCUCUUUUGAAAACAUUGCACUUCAUAGCUCUAGGUGUUAUGGUGAGUGGUGACUGAGAAAGGACACGUGGUGCUGAUGCGAGGUAGUUUCUAAAAGACACGUUGCAUAAAUAGUUACUAAUGCGUGGCAGUUUCUAAAGCCUUCUUUUGAUUUUUUUUCUCAAUGUAUAUGCCGCAUUUAUAUGCUUUUGAUGUCUAUCAUUUUGUAUAAAGUGGUCAAUGCCUUAACUGUCAUGGAAAAUCCAAAAAUUUAGUUUGCUCUACUACUUGUAUUAUCUGAAGUGUUUGCUAUUUUUUUUCAUGCUUUUACUAUGACUUGUUUCAAAUUACUGGUUAAAUUGUCUAUAUAUACAUUGAUGUGAACUGAGCAUGUUCGAUGCGCCUUUAGACAUCCUUUUCAAAAUUCGAGUCUGCUCUAUGAUAAUGGCUUCCGGCAUUCCUGCUUUAAGUUCACUGAUACAGGUGGAUAGUAGGGUGUUAUGAUGUGUUUUUGCAAGGAUAGUGGUAGAAGCUUGUUAGGACAUUCAACAUAGCUAUCUAAGCUAUUUGUUCUUGUAGAUGGUGAACUGCUUGUGGAUAGAAAUUUAGCAAGAUUUAUAAAUUAGUGUUCCAUGCAUUUUCACCAAUCUUUUUGCCUUGCAUUUAAAUAAUUUUGAGUGAUGAUUGCUAUUUGUACUUGAAAUAUUUAUCUUUAGAUUUCACUUCCUUUUUUAAUCCGCAAUUUCCUAUGGAAGUUAAUCAAAAUGAAACUUCAGACUUCCACGAUAUGCACGGGCCAUUGCUAUCUAGUAUAUAUAUUAUUAUUAUUAUAUAUAAUAAAAGGCUUGGUUUCGACCGGGGGCAAAGAUGUAAUUUCGCCCUCCUUCCAUGGCAGUAAAAAUCAAGGCCGCAUAAUCACUUUCUGGGAUCUUCUACAACUUUUCUUUUUUGUUCCUCUUUUCUGUGCUCUGGGUUUUACUGUAUUUUCUCCAUCAAAGGCUCAUUCCAGGUUCGAGCUUUAUUUCUUGACUUAAAAAUUUGCUCUCUUCUCGGCACUCCCGGUGUAGGUUACAAUCACUUUUUGUCGUGCUAUUGUUUUCCCUCUCCGAUCUCAUUCUUCCCCCUUUUUGCAGCAAUUUAGCACGGAUUUGAGGAUCAAAAAUUAAGAUCACCCCCAAAUAAGGACAAUCCUGCAAAUUACCCAUUUAAGAGUUGGGAACAUAUUAAUGGGGCUGUGAUGAUGAUUUGCUUGCUGCUUUCUGAGAAGAUCCGACCCGUAUCUUGGCGGGGCGACCCGAUACAAGGUAGAAAUGAGACACAACAAGGUAGCUGCUUUUUUAAGAGUUCUGAACCUAAAUGAGCUGAUUUAUUGGAAGAAAUUGCACGUUAAGCUAUGCAAUUUAGAAAAGCAGAGCAUUCAAUGCACGUGGAGCUAGCAUUACUCAAAGAAGAAGCGAAGCCUUUCUAGCCAUGAAAAGGAGCGUGAAAAACUCCGAACCACAAUCGAGGAUAUGGAGAAGGCAAACUUGGAAGAGAAGACCUGGACUAUGCAAGGAGAAGUAAGAUAUUUCUUUCAUACUUCCCUUAUUUGUUUUAAAUAUUUUCUUCGAAGAAACACCCAUUCAUGAAUACACAAGCCCAGACUCAAGAUGAAAACUGAAACUCGGUUAUCCUAUAUUCUCGUGCUAAUUUCACAAUAUUGUUUUCUCUCAUUGUUGAUGCUACAUUACGAUCUUCAUAAGGCUUUUCCUUUCUAAUUGUUCUCUCUCUUCCUUUAUAAUUCCCUAUGACUCUUUCAUCAACCUGUACUGGCUAUAUGUACCACAUAUGCCGUCUUCUGUCUGUAUGUUUGAACAAUCUCUAUUGGCUGGUAACUGGUGCAAGAAGGCCAAAAAUAGUGCACUAGAAGUUGAUCUGGAUUUCGAGCACAAUGUGAGAGCUGCCUCUGUAAUCACUGAAGAGGUUACUGCAACACUUGAAGAUCUAAUUCAGAAACGUAUCAUUGAGGAAGAGUUUGUGCACAUACAAUGUCGAACACUUGUUUCUCUAGACGAGGUUCGAAAUACAGGGUAGUCACAAGCUGCGAUGGGAUAAUUUCUCGGGAAAAAGUGAGUUAUCGGCUUAUGGCUUAUCCCACCAUUGCUUAGGCAAGUCAUAUUAUCAGUGAUAUAGCUGUUUAAAAGCUUUCUUGGUAUAUUAUCGUGUCAUUAUAGAUAUGCCUGCAGGUAUAUCUAUCUUGGAGUGUUUGCAGUGAGAUAGAAGCUGCAAG
This is a long non-coding RNA of Lycium ferocissimum, 2957 nucleotides long. RefSeq lists it as uncharacterized. The transcript has 4 exons. The record is from RefSeq and is a predicted model, not a curated record. Lineage: Eukaryota; Viridiplantae; Streptophyta; Magnoliopsida; Solanales; Solanaceae.